GGCUUUGACUGCAAAAUGUAUAUAAACAAGAUUCCUUUCAGAUGAAACUAAACUGGAAAAUUCUCUCCUGCUGAACACGACAUGCUUUGUCCUAGUGCAGAUAUGAGACUCCAAAAUACGAUUUACAUGGUGAAUUUUCUAAUCAAACACUGAACCUGUGCUAUGACUUGAUAAGAGUGCUACUGGACAUUGUGAAAGAAAAUCUGAGAGUCUGGGCCUAAGGUGAAAACUGCAGAAAAUGCCUGUGCCUGAAUUUAUUAACUACUGUAGAUACUCUUAAAGCAAACAACACAGUGCAAUGCAGGCUAUUGAUGUGUUGAAGACCGAUAAUAAAAAUGAGGCACAAAAGUUAAACUUUCUGACUCUUAACAGGAAGCAUACAUACAGAAAAAAAUAUACAAGCCUAAUAGGCUACUGUGAAUACCAGUAUUAUAUUAAAUAUAUUAUGCAUAUCUUAAUUCAUUACUAUUUUUGCAUGAUUAUGUCUGUGAAGUUGUCUUCAAAAUAUAUGACUUUGUGACUGCAAUAUCGUUAACUGUUAACAGCAUUUCUUCCAAUUAAUUUGAAGUUUACAUUGUAAAAUUAUUCUGAAUUGUUGUACAUAUAGCUAUUCUAUAACGUUGAUAAAUCACUGUAUCAUGUAAUUGAUCUUUAAUUAUAUGAUGCCAACAAAACUGUAUUCUAUUGCUUCUGAAUGAAAAAUGAACCUCAGCACAGAAAGCUUCCUUUAGAAAGCUGUUAUUAGUAAUUUAUUUUUUUUUAAUCCGUCUCUUGUUUAAGGUAACAGUCACCUACUUAAGAGUCCAGAUAAAGUGAAUUAAAGCUUCAGUACAGUGUUUUAAACAAAACUGAAGUUUGAAGUCUCCGAAGGAGAUCAGUGUUAAAUAGGAACAGGGGUUUUCUACUGUCAGAUAUUACUAUUGAAGGAAAUUUUCGUAUUCUUUUUAGAAAAUAAGAUGGGAAAAAAAAAAAGAUAUUUUGAAUGUGCACAUGAUUUGUUAAACCGUAUCCUUUGAUAAAAUUAAUCUUUACAGACCUGAUGCUGGCUCCAGAAGUCACACAAAAAUAGUUUGAAAUAGUAGGGCUGUUUAUUAAUACCAGAAUUACUUAAAAAGUCCAUCUACAGCUGAGAGUGUGCAAGUUAAUUUCUCAUCAAAGAAACUAAAAUAUUAUGAUGUUUAGAGAGAAUAUAUGUGAAUUUGUUGGUCUUCUGUUUUAACCCCCACUCUCCAUGUCUAAGGACUGGAAAUGGGACAAAAUCAUAAAUCUUUGAAAAGUCUCGUUCUAGUAUGCUAUCUUUAAGCUUACUACAUUGCUACAUAAAAUGUUUUAAAAGAUGCCUUUUUUUUGUUUUACUAGUUUACAAUCACUAGAAAGUGUUUCUUAUUUUUUAUUAUUCUUAUUUUUCUUAGUAAGCAGAAAAAAUGAAUCAUCGUAUUGUGAAAACUCUGUGAUAUAACAUCAUUUUAGUUUUUGUUUGUUUGUUUGUUUUUCCUAGAGUUUCAGCAGUUUGUGUGAAUUUAAUAUGACUGAGUAAGCUAAACAGAUAACCAAAUUGUUUUGGGCAAUAUCAGUCACAUGACAUUUUAUUAACAACAGUUAAUCUUAUG
This is a long non-coding RNA of Cygnus atratus (black swan), 1610 nucleotides long. RefSeq lists it as uncharacterized. The record is from RefSeq and is a predicted model, not a curated record. The transcript has 3 exons. Lineage: Eukaryota; Metazoa; Chordata; Aves; Anseriformes; Anatidae.